RNAcentral lists this unclassified non-coding RNA (329 nucleotides) under soil metagenome. RNAcentral describes it as "partial contains 5.8S ribosomal RNA, internal transcribed spacer 2, and large subunit ribosomal RNA". The stretch from base 1 to 120 matches the Rfam family "5.8S ribosomal RNA", at positions 35 to 154 of the family's 154-position model. The record is from RNAcentral.
GAUGAAGAACGCAGCGAAAUGCGAUAAGUAAUGUGAAUUGCAGAAUUCAGUGAAUCAUCGAAUCUUUGAACGCAUCUUGCGCUCCUUGGUAUUCCGAGGAGCAUGCCUGUUCGAGCGUCAUUAUAACCCCUCAAGCUCAGCUUGGUGUUGGGGCCUGCUGCACUGGCAGCCCUUAAAAUCAGUGGCGGCGCCAUCUGGCUCUAAGCGUAGUAAUUCUUCUCGCUAUGGAGUCCUGGUGGAUGCUUGCCAUCAACCCCCAAUUUUUCUAUGGUUGACCUCGGAUCAGGUAGGGAUACCCGCUGAACUUAAGCAUAUCAAUAAGCGGAGGA